UAUGAACAAAACUCUUUUUUUUUUUCCGUUGACAGAAAAAUGCAUGCAUAUUGUUAUUUGAUUUAUUUUUUAUUAAAUAGGAAAAAAAAUUAAACCUAUAUUUUAUUUCAAAAUUACUAUUACUGAUUAGGAAUAUGAAUUGAUAUAGGUACAUAAUUUUAUCUGAACUCAAUUUUAUAGGGUGAGCUUAAUCGAUGCUGAGUACGAAUAAUUUCAGUUAAAAUUACAAAAAAAAUAAAUCACAUUAUAUUCAAACUCAGUUAUGGUUUUGAUUUAUAUCUAAACCAAACCUGAACCGAAAUCCGAAGCCGAAAACAAAACUAAAAUCAUAUAAAAACAUACUAUAUAUAAAAUACAAUUUUUAUAUAUUUUUUAAAAAUAAAUAUAUAUUAAUAAUUUAAUUUAAUAUUUAGUAUAUUAAAUAAUUAAAUUUAGGUUUACAGAAAUUGUCUUGAAAUAUCUAUUAGUAUUUGUACUGUUGAUGAGAGAUAAAGGGUAAAAAUGGUAUUUUAAAAAUAUAACUCCAUUUUAAAGGGAACUUAACUAGUGAAGGAUAUUUAUGAUAAUUUUUGAUAUAUUGGAGGGCAUUCAUGAAAUUAUGGAUUUUAGAAGGGCAUUGAUGAAAUUAAUAGUUCCUGGAAGGGCAUCUAUGAAAUUAUCCCUAUUAUUAAUUAUAAAGCUAGUCUUCUCACAUUUUUGCGCUUAUACCGACCGUCCCUAAAGCAAGUAGCAAAGGGCUUGGUGGUUGGUAACCGAGACCCAAGUUCGAAUCCUAGUUGAUUCAUAUUUCCAGCUAAGUUUAUUUCUAAAUGAAAUAAACGAAACGGGUAGCGUGCUACCUAUCUCUCUCAAAAAAAAAAAAAAAAAAUUUUUGCGCUUAUCUUAAUUACCCUGACAUAAAAAAAUUGCAUUAAUUAUCCCAUACAUUUUGUGUGACACAUUAGGAUUUGGAAUAGUCGUAUAUAUAAGAUAUAAUAAGACUAAGCCUCUUAACUCGGCUGUAGUAUUUUGGCGAUAGUUAGAUUUAAGAGGUUAAAAGAGUUAAGUGUACUAGAACUAGAGUAAUUUUAGGAUGAGUAACCUUUUGGAAAGUGCACCGUUACACUUUGUCAAUAUUUUAAGUAGGUUCGACUAUUUAGGAUAAUUGUUGAAUUCAACUGUAAAACUUUAUAAAGAUGAAUUUAUUGAUAACGUAAUACGUAAAUAAUGUAAUAAAAUUAUAUAAAUUGAAUAACUUA
RNAcentral lists this long non-coding RNA (1238 nucleotides) under Ananas comosus (pineapple). RNAcentral's name for it is "long non-coding RNA (ACOM_LNC025702)". The record is from RNAcentral. Lineage: Eukaryota; Viridiplantae; Streptophyta; Magnoliopsida; Poales; Bromeliaceae.